This is a long non-coding RNA of Stegostoma tigrinum, 3722 nucleotides long. RefSeq lists it as uncharacterized. The transcript has 3 exons. Lineage: Eukaryota; Metazoa; Chordata; Chondrichthyes; Orectolobiformes; Stegostomatidae. The record is from RefSeq and is a predicted model, not a curated record.
GUUGAAAUUAGUAAAUGUCAGCCUUACCAUGUCAGCUUGCCCGCUGUCAGACCAAUUCACAAAUCACUUCAUGCUUUCAGUAGUUACUUUGGAACAUCUAUGAUUUACAUGCUUCUGCCAGUCACCGUGUGAGCAGGGACACACACUCGUUUCAUGUACCUGCACAGGAUUCAUCUAUCGAUCUUGGUUUUUUCCUUAGCUCUCACUCAUUUUGUAUCUAUUUUGGAGGUUGCCAGCCCUUUUGUACUUCAGUCUGCUUUCUGAGCACACUCAUGCUGAUUUCAGAAUAAGACUUAAUAGCUGGUAAGCCUGUACGUGGCUUGUGUAGUUUUCUUAGUGCACAGGGAUUUUGGUGCUUAGGUACAGCCUGCCAGUCUUUGUCAAUUGCAUUGAUUUUUACCACAGUUGGAGAGGCAGGCCGCUCUGUCAGGCUGGGGAACACUGAACAAUCAAGGGAGUUGGGCAUUCCCCUGUAGGACACUGUGCCAUUUCAACAUUAUUCCUGCAGCAUGAAUAAUAUCAGCAGUUUAUGCAUCAAAUCACUGAAUGCAUUUCAAACAGAUAGUGGGAUGAGGUCAAAGGCUUACUGGCUUGAAAGGGGAUUGCUAUCAGUCAGAGGUUACUGCCUAUUGGCAUCCCAGGGCCUUGAUUGAUUGCGUUACAGGAAUUAGGUUGCAGUCAGUUAUACAUUUGGUCCUACCAGAGUCUAGGGGCCGCUAUCUUUGCAGACUGGGGAUUGGGCCACAAUCAGUCUUUCAGGUCAAGUGCAAUCAGCCCAAGACCACAGACUUGUUGGUCAGAGUGCGGUGGAGACAUUAGUGUAGGACAUAGACCAUGACUGGUUGGGGUUGUCCUGCCAAGUCAGUCAGUGGGGUGGGGGUUGGGGAGAAGGUGCAGCCAGCCCUGGAGGUUUGAUGAUACUGAUUAUGAACUUAUUGGGGGAAAUCCAUGAGAAAGAAAGCAACACAAUUCUGAGCAUAGGUUUCUUCAUAUUGGGUCACUUUCAUACAGGUCAUGGUAACUCUGGCGACUAUAUGGGGAGGAUGUAGGACUAAUUCUGCAUUUGAAAAUCUCCAAAAUCAUGGGCUCUUGAGGUAAGUUGGAGAUAUUAACAGUUCUGUAAAGGGGCUCAACAGAAACGGGAGUCGCUGAAGGUUAUAGGGGUGACAGGGAGAGCAACACAAAAGGGAACGUGAAGAAUGUGAGGAAUUCCAUGCAUUGCAAGUAGAACCUGCGGCUAACUCAGUGAACCACAAUUAGAAACUCGCUCGCUUUGUUGGAUCAAAUGUCAACUCCACACUAACUAUGCAAAAUGACUAAUACCAUAUGUAAGUGGAAUGGAUUGUUAAAUUUUAUUCUUUGGAAGCUGAGUAGAACUUUUGGAAUUGCUGGGGCAAUUGUAGUAAUCAUCCUCCACUUAUUCAGUAAUGCCACCCAGCUAUCUGCAAUUAGCACGUCAUCAGUAGAUCAUUCAUUAUCCAGGAAUGCACAUUAAAAAUGAUAGUCUUUAAACAACACUAAUUACCUCCUUGUCAUGUCAUGUAGCAAAUGUAAUGACACAAUGACACUUAAAACUUGCAACUGAUUUCACAAAUGUCACCAAUCAUUCUGUAGCUAGCAUCGGAAAAUAAUACUUCACAGCUGCUGUGUUUGUACAUUGAACUGGGCAAGGGCAAGAUCUGGGAUGUGGAAGUUAGCCUUUUCUUUGGGUACAUGGCUAUCAUUGCAGAAUUUACUACCUCUACCGUAGAAUGAAAACUUUGGUUGUGUAAUGUAAAUAUGGAUAAGGAGAGACCUCAGAGAUUUUUAUUAAUCAAGACAUGACAACAAACUCACUCAGAAGCUAUAUGCCACAUUAUGUGAGAGCAUAGCAUGAGGCUCCAUUGUGAUGGAUCUGAGGGCUCAGGACUUCUUUCAUGAAAAUGGUGUUAUUUUUCUGAUUGGCCAUCGGCUCUUGUGGAUAGAAACACAAUACCAGGUAAAUAUGUCCAUUCAUAUUAACUGCCUCUCAGCUGCCCUCUACUAAAACGUGAUAAAGAUGGUGAAAUUGCCUGAGGACAGCACCAACAUUAUUCUGCUGGAAAAGCUGAAAGAAGAAUGCAAAUGGAGGCAUGGCUUACCUCAAUAUCCCAUUACCAGCAAGGAACAUGAGGACUGCAGUGAUUCUUCUGUAUCUGAUUGUCCUCGGUAUCCUGGUAACAGUAGUAAUCAUAGCAGGUAACAAAUUUUUUUUUCAUCUGCAAAGCACUGGAUUGGUGAACUGAUGUUUCCCCUCCUUUCCGCCUGAGGCCUCAUCAGUGCCUCUAUCACAUCUGUCUCGGAGUGUGGCUAUUUCCCUUUUCUAAAAGAAAGUGUCAUUUUACAGUGGUGUUCACCUGGUUCUGACAGUUUACUUGUCUUCGGAAGUGAAGAUGAUGUACUGCUCCAUGCAGAUGUAUAGCUGACACGCAACCAGUGUCCAAUCAUUUGUUAAAGUUAAGAUGUGCAUUCAGGAUCUCUGGCCCAGGGUACUAAUCCCAAUUGGACUGCUCUAAAACUUGCUUCUGGUGCAAUAAAGAGAUAAUCGGCUAAAAUUCCAUGGCUUUCCCUUCCCGUCCCACCAUGAGUUUGACAGAACACUUUAAAGAAAUGGCAGAAAAACCACCCUAACAAUAGGGUGGAAACUGAUGGUCACCUCACAAAAUUUCAGGUUAGUUCUGUUGGAAUUAGUUCCUUCAGCUGACCCUGUGAUCAAAUCCUCAUUCAGAGUCAAAUCCUCAUUCAGAGCCUUCACAGAUGACUUUCUUCUUCCUUUCUGCCCACCGGUCAAGCUCAUAUCUCUCUGUUUCCAAAAGUUCAAAGUUUUGGGUUAAUUUAUAUUUGUCUUCAGCCUUAGUCAAAUAUUCUAUUAGCAACAAAGUUUCAAAGCAUAGGACCAAUUUGGAUUAAGGCACAAAUUGAAGGGUUUGGAUUUUCCUUUGAUUUGCUAACCCUGUUCAGGGGACUUUGAGCAGCAUGAUUAAAUUAAAGUGAAGUGGUUGCCAUCUGAAUUUUAUCAGUAAAAUGUACAGUUACCCUGUUUUAAUGGCACCAUUUUCUUCUGUGCUAGAUUAGAAUUUGUUGAGGGGGUAUAAGUACAAGGCAAAGAAGUGGUGAUGACCUUGUGUCUCUCUUUGCUUGAGCAAUCCUUUCUUGUUUGGUAUAGAAUUUGAGAUGGAAAACAGAUCUACGCUAAUUUUGAGAAUUUCUUUGUGUUUCAUUGUCUAGGAAGGCUGUUGAAACAAUGUAUUGGCUGUUGUCAACAGUGACCUGCCAUUUCACAAAGAAGGUGAUUAACAUUCCUCUUUUUACGUAGGCUGCAUACUCCAAUCCUUCCUAAUGGAACAGGAAAUUGAAACGCCACCCCCAACCAACAUCUACAUAAAAGAAAGGAAACAAUUGUGUGGACAAGUUAUGCUGACUUUGCAGAACAACAUUCAUGUGAAAUUGUGAACAUGCACAUUAACAACAACUGUUUAUUAAUAAUGUGUACCUGCUAACUUACUUGUUCUUCCUCCUCUAUGGAGUUGUAGGCUGACGGGAUAUUCUGAGAAACUUCCUGCAACGUGUCCCUUCCAACACUGCAUCUUCUAGGCCAUUUCCAGGCAAACAUCUUCUGCUCCCUGUGGAAGAGAUCAACAGUCCUGGCUCAAAAUCUUCCGGAUACUGGACCUGAAACUUGUGCCCCCAGUCCACUCAAUCAA